AUACGGAGGGUGCAAGCGUUACUCGGAAUCACUGGGCGUAAAGCGCGCGCAGGCGGGCUGAUAAGUUGGAUGUGAAAGCCUACGGCUCAACCGUAGAACUGCAUCCAAAACUGUCAGUCUAGAGUGUGGGAGAGGAAGAUGGAAUUAGUUGUGUAGGGGUAAAAUCCGUAGAGAUAACUAGGAAUACCAAAAGCGAAGGCGAUCUUCUGGAACAGUACUGACGCUGAGGCGCAAAAGCGUGGGGAGCAAACAGGAUUAGAAACCCCAGUAGUCC
This 274-nucleotide ribosomal RNA is filed under the name uncultured bacterium. RNAcentral describes it as "partial 16S ribosomal RNA". It matches the Rfam family "Bacterial small subunit ribosomal RNA", at positions 523 to 796 of the family's 1533-position model. The record is from RNAcentral.